Molecule: long non-coding RNA, 638 nt
Organism: Pelodiscus sinensis (Chinese soft-shelled turtle)
Lineage: Eukaryota; Metazoa; Chordata; Testudines; Trionychidae
Source: RefSeq, a predicted model, not a curated record
GGAAUCUCAGCAAGCUGUGGCAUUUUUAGCUUCACACAAUCCUGAGAUGAAAGGUUUGGAAAGAGGCUCAGAAGGUUUUUUAACUUUCAGAGGAUCAAGUCAUGGCCAAGGCAGGCUCCUCAAGGUCUGGGAAACUGUACUCAACACGACAUGCAUGGAGACAGUUGGUUUUUAUCACCACCAUCAGGCAAUUGAGAUCACCAUGCCUCUACCAGCCCAGCUGAGAUGAUUCUCAAGAGUCUCCCUGAAGUACCUCACAGGGAUAGAGGCUGUACCCUGCAUGGAUUUCCAUGAGUUCCAGAACCGCAGGGAGAGACGACCAGCACAUGGAGUGAUGAAAGAAUGUUAGAAGUUGGUCUUGCUUGAGGUAAUGUAAAUACAGCAUUCAAGUAUCAUGAGACUGAAGCACUUUCCUUCUUUAAUAGUAAAGCUGAAAAAAUCUGUCUAUCUGGAAGAGAGGAAGCAAACAUUCAGUUGCCUCAUGUGAUCAGCCUACCAAUCUCUACUGACCUGACAAGAAGCUUACUCUGAGGUUGACUGCAAAGACAGCUGGCAGCAGCUAUCUUUCCAGAGCUGAUAUGUGCUAAAAACUGGUCAGUCUGUGGGCAAAUUUAAAUAAAAAGGAACAUUGAAAUUAA